CCACAGGGACCCCACUCGUCCCCACACGCCGCCAUAUCCCCACAGACCCCCACAGGGGAGGGCCGGGGGCCGCGGGAAGCGCUGUCGCACCCCACCCGCGGCGGGACACGGGGCCCGGGCCCCGGCGGCGCCUUUAAGGCUGGGCCGGGCGCCAGCUGCCUCCGCCCCGGGGCAGAGCCGGGCGGGCCGGGCCCCGCCGUAGCCUGGAAACCGCCNCGGUAGACGGAGCCCGGCUGCCGCCCGAUAAAAGUCCUGCCCCGCCGCCCCACCGCGGCCGUGAGGGAGCGCGGAGCCGCCGGAGCAGCCAUGCUCAGCGUUGGACACACUCUAUGAGCCAUCCCAGCUUCAGCAGCCCGCAGCACCCGUCUGCCCGUCGGUGAUUCGGAGCAGGACAGUUUGUUACCGAGUUGACUAAGCGGAGGAAGCUCUUGCUGUCCUAGCAGCACCAGGCCAGACAAUCCUUCCCUUGGGUGAAGAUCCUGUUGGAUCCCUUCCCAUAAUGGAAG
RNAcentral lists this long non-coding RNA (506 nucleotides) under Strix occidentalis caurina (northern spotted owl). RNAcentral's name for it is "lncRNA (ENSSOCG00000013094.1)". The record is from RNAcentral. Lineage: Eukaryota; Metazoa; Chordata; Aves; Strigiformes; Strigidae.